CAACAAUGCUUGGGGGAGCUUCCGGGUUGGCAACAUUCUGUGUACAUUGUUACACAGUGAUAGUGGGGGAGGGGGAGUAAGACCCCACAAACCCACAGGGAGAGGUUGACUAGAAAUACCAUGUUUGGAACUUUCCUGGGCUCUGCCCUAUGAACCUCUUCCCUUGGCUGAUUUUGAUCAAUAUCUUUUAUUCUUAACAAACUGUCACCUGGAGAUGAAGAGCUUCCUAAUCCAGAUUAAUACACCUACCCGGCAUUAUUGGCUCUCAUCUCAUUGGCCAAGACUGCCUGAGGGCUCUUUAGCUGGGCAGGCGGCCACUUCAGCCACCCCAGGAUUCUGCUGAUAAGGAAGAAGGGGAGACAAGAUCUUGUCCACCAGUCUAUGGGAUUUUAUUACGAUGGCCCAAGCGGACUCAGAACCACCUCCCUCCCCCAGCCACACCAAGCUGUCCAGUUGUCCUGGCUGUGCUGCAGCUAAGCCUUCACUCAUGGUGGACCGCAGUACCUACUUCCACAUCCCUACAAAUUCUACUGGGACAGAUUCUCCAAGUUUGCUGAUUGAUAUAAGAAUUUGGAGAAGUCAAUUAGCAACGCUAUUGUCUGUCAUGAAAUCUAAUGUUUGAAUAGCAAAAGCAGACGCUGCGGUCUUCCUUGGCAUUCUUUCUGUAACAGAUUUGAAUUUCCCCCUGGCCAAAAAGACAUCUAAGGUGUAAUGGAGAAAAGAUUAUGGCCGGGAAAGGCAAAAGAGAAAAACACAUCAAAAUCAAAAGAAUACUACCCCGUUCUGAGUAUGUAAUUUUUAACAAAAAGUGAUAUCAUGUUUUAGGUACUUCUGAGCUCCUAACUUCAUUCACCUGAAAGUAUGUCCUUACCUUUCAUGUUGGCACACAGAGAUCUCUCUCAUUAUCUCUACCACCCCAGUCCUAGUCACCACCAUGCCUCACCUAGACCACUGCCUUAGUCUCCUGCCUGGCCACCCUGCACCCACUCCUGUCUUUUUAAAGAAGAUCUUCAAGAAAUAGGGGCGCCUGGGUGGCUCAGUUGGUUGGGCAUUCGACUUUGGCUCAGGUCAUG
This is a long non-coding RNA of Suricata suricatta (meerkat), 1073 nucleotides long. RefSeq lists it as uncharacterized. The record is from RefSeq and is a predicted model, not a curated record. Lineage: Eukaryota; Metazoa; Chordata; Mammalia; Carnivora; Herpestidae. The transcript is spliced from 4 exons.